Long non-coding RNA from Syngnathus acus (greater pipefish), 3086 nucleotides. RefSeq lists it as uncharacterized. NCBI's taxonomy places the organism in Eukaryota, Metazoa, Chordata, Actinopteri, Syngnathiformes, Syngnathidae. The transcript has 7 exons. The record is from RefSeq and is a predicted model, not a curated record.
UGUCAAACGUAUACACCCCAAGGUUCUUGCUCAUGUAUUUGAAGCAUAUCCAUUCAUAUGUCCGUACGUAUCUGACAUUAGAGAGGCCAGAGUCAGCCAACAAAGCAUUAAUGAGACACUUGCUAUUUGCUUUUGGCAGCUGCAAGGCAGACAGGACGUAAUGUUCUGUGCCAGGUCUGGACCAUAGAUAGACUGACUGACUGACUGUGCAUGCUGCCAUCUGAUGGUCAUCAUUACACCCAGAUGGGGCAAUCUAAGUGCUGGGAAUGUAAAAGUGACCCAAUGGCUGAAUGUGCAAUCUGAAAACUGAUGGGAGUCCAUUGUGUUGUUGUGCUCCUGAUAUUUCAGAUGUUUUGCAGACUCCUCCCACUGCUGUUGCUGCUCCUGCUGCUGCUGCUGCUGCUGCUGCUGCACAUGAUCUUCACAGUUCUGCCUGAUCCAUUUUACAACAGUAACGAGAUCCUCUCCAAGCUGGAUUUGUCACAGUCACACCUUCUUCCAACAAAACUGCCACUAUAUGUCCUUGAGGACCAUGAAGUCCACUUGAAUCUUAAAGUGGAAGGUUUGUUUAUGUGAGCGUGACAAGCCUCUCUGCAUAGCAAAGUCAAUGUAAACCGUCUCCCUUAUAGCAACUUCCUGACUCAGCAUGGAAGUUGGACAUGCAGAUUUACGACUGCCCCGCACGUGCGUGACUCGCAUCCGAGCAGCCAACUUCUGAAAAACAACUCAGUUUGGAAACAUGAGAGAGAGAGAGAGAAAAACAGCUGGCUGAAUGUGCGGGGAUUUGUCAAGAGAAGCAGUACAGUGUGAUAAAUGCUAAUGAAAUGAUGGAUGCUACAGUUUGUUUACUGCUCAUCACAAUGUGCUCGCUAUCUCUCAUGGAUUGUAAACAAGCCUUAAUUAGAAAGGGGAGCUAUUCGAUUUCUCGCUGACAUCAGAGCUGCGUGUUUGUGCGCACAAACUGGGUCACAAGAGCCCACAAAUAAGGACCAUGAAAAUCCUUUCAAUUAAAUGUGCUUGCAUGAGCAAGGUUGGAGAUGCCAAAGUUUCUUUGGGUGAUAGCGCAUCAAACAAUCUGGACAAGGUGUGGAGCAGUUUCAAACUUUACAAGAAGUGCAUUUUUAUGUGAAGAAAAAAAAAACAUUUAAGAUUGUGCACAAGAAUUAUCCAGUGAAUCAGUUGUUAUCGCUUUUUUUUUUCUCUUCAUGGGCUGCCGAGACAAUGAAGACAGGAAACUGGAGACAAGGAAGGAGAAGGAGGGUAGGAGUGCUGAAAGUUUCACAAGAGUGGCUGGCGGGGGAGAGCAUGCACAUUGCACGCAGGAAGGCCGGAGCUUGGAUCAGAACCACCAAAGCGCCACGCCGCCAUAUGCAUUCCAAUACACACUGCAACAACUAGGACGACUCCCAUUUCUAAGAUGGCCACGCCCACGAAACCAGGCUACUGUCACGGGUAGGCAACUCCGGUCCGGGCCUCGAGGGCCGGUGACGCAUCCUAAAGUGUGCGAGCGAGCAGCAGGUUGGCGAGGUCGUGCUGGCCGCCGGUCCCAGACAUCAUGAGAACUGCUGCUAUUAGUGGACGCAGCCAGUUGGCAAAUCCGAAAAUUAUUUUCAUACUAAACCUUGUUCUACUUUCAGCCUAGAUCACACGCACAUACUAUGAAUAUAUUUUACAGCUCCAAGCAUCUUUGCCAUUGCAGCAGAGAUGAGAGUCUCAUACGGCUUAUUCCUUUAUUUUUAUUUUAUUUUUACAAAAAUACAUGCAAGUUUAACAAAGUUCAAAGCGAUAUGAGAAAGAGGUCCGUUUCCAAGCAGAAAAUCCCUCAGGCUGCAAAUGUCCAUGGUUAUGAACCAGCUCACAUGACUCAUUUGAUGAAUAGUCAUAAAAAUCAAAUGCCCCCUUCAAAUCCAAAUCCGCCCUGCCGCCUGAUCCAAGUCAUGAAGGAUUUUGGCAAAGUCUUUCCUUUAACCACAGCUGAAAAUCACUUGCACCUGGACAAGGGUGAGGCUCUACCACUUUUAUUUUCCAUUGCAAAACACCUCAGUCAUGUUUCAAUCAUUUCGUCACAAGUUGGUCUGGAUGGGAACUCCAAGCAAAUACAGGUCACGCUCCUGUAAAUAAUCGCUGUCUUUUUCCACAGAUUGAAUAUCUGCAUCAUGUUUUCCAUGCAAAGGUCCAGCAGUCACACGGACACUAAAUUAGAUGUAGUUGGGCUCAUCUCCGCAUAGCUGCACGUUGGCGUGCUGGAGUGGCAGAAGAGUGCCAGAGCGAGACACCAUUGUGGUUUUGUGGCCCAUGUGGAUGUCUUCAUCGGUGUGCUGGCGAUGUCAUCAUCUUUUUCAGAAGAUGGCCAUCUUUGACUCUUGACAACAUGCAUGAAUGCCAUCUACAGGACUGAAGUGGAAAAGCCCUGACCUCAAUUGGAAAAAAAUGUUGCCCUCCCAAAAUGGAUGAAUUGUAAGACUGUCAACAGCCCCUGGCCUUUCCUAAUGCGACCUGGGCAUGGGACUCCAUCAGCAGGACCUGGCGUGCCGCCAGUAGGCCCAUCCAAACAUCCUCAGCGCAUGCAAGGGAGGGGAAAUCAUUUUUACGUAAAUAACACUCGGGGAAUACAUUCGCACAGCGAAGUGAUUUUACCCUUGCUUCAGAAAUGUCUCUGAGAUUUGUCACACUGCAAGUCCCUCUCUGAAAUAUGACACAGAUCUUUAUUUUUUUUCUUUGCAGAGUUAAAGAUGAAAGAUGCAUUCCUGCAUAUGUGGUCUUCUAUGUCUGUAAUGGCACCCUGCUCAUUUAAGGAGUUGGUGGACUCCUUCUACUCACUGCUUGUCAUUAGAGUCUCGCUCGCCUGCCAAGACAAUGAAAUGAUGACUGCUUUAAUAGGCAGGUGUUGAUUUGAUACUUGUUUUUUCUCUUCACUUUCAUUAUCUCCAAAACGCACAUUUGAGUGAUGGCGUUAUCCAGCAAAGUCUGACAUUUGUCUUAUCGGUUUAAAAUCAUCAUGCAAGAGUGGCAAACAAAGUAUGCUGAAAAUAAAGGGAGUCAAUUUUUUUGUCAACAACAUAAGGCAGCAAUAUGGCAACAAUGAA